CGCAGCGCCGCCCUGGGUGGCGGCCUAGGCCCGGGGCCGGGGUGCUGGAGAUAUAGAUAGAUAGAUAUAUAGCUAUAGAUAUAUCUAUAUAUAUAGAUAUAAUAUCUCCAGUGGGCUGGAUAUAUUCAGCCAUUUGGUCCCAAAACAUGACAGUCUUUUUUUUUUUUGUUCCUUCAUUAUUCUGUGACUGAGGUUUUAAGAAACAAUAUCAAAUGCUGUUUAUCCAGACCCAAGACAAAACUUGAACUAAUUGGCAAUGCUGACUGACACGGGAGGCCACGCUGAGGCUGAAGACACGCUAGUCCUUCUUCAUUCUAGGAGAAAAGGAUAAAUAAGUUUCUUUAUGGAGCAUGACAGCCGAAAAUAUAAAAGCCACCAACUGGUACAGCAGCUAGAUAGAAAGCUUGAGCUAAAGCUAACUCAUAAGUAGUAAGAGGAAUUUCUCUUGCAACUGAAGAAAAUGAAGAAGCUGAGGCACUGACUAGAUUCUGCUUGUGCGUAAGGAGCAUAAAGCUAUCAGAAAACGUAGAGCAGAUGAGGAGAUAAAUUAGCGUGAUCUUGAGAGGGAGCCUGAACUCAGAAACUAUGAGCGAGGAAAUUGCUCCUAUUAUUCCUCCUGAUCUUUAGCAAUAAACAGGAUCAUAUCAAAUCUAUCUCAUUCCAUUCUCUAUUUUUCUCCCAAAUAUUGUCUAGCUACAUGGGGCCAAAGGGGCAAGAGCAAAGACUUCAACUGUGGAUGCAGCUAUACUGGACUAAAGACGUUCAACUCUCACAGCAGGGUUGGAGGCAUCUUAGGCGCCGUGACUCAUCUGAAGCUUAUUGGCUCCAUGACGCUCCCCUUCCUAUGUGAUCUGACAUGUCAGAUCUCCCCAUGUUUAUCUGUUUCCACCAGGCCUGCUCAACCUUCCUUCUGCCUAAAGCCUCCCCUCAACAGGAAUUGUCAUUUAAUGUACAUUUUGCACAGCACCUUCUGCAGUGGAGGCCCAACUUGGCUGGACUUGUCAUUGCCUAAGAAUCCAAGGUAACAAAUUGCUGAAUAGUUAACAAAAAAUAAAUAUUGUCCUAUCUAAAAAUAACA
This 1078-nucleotide long non-coding RNA is filed under the name Struthio camelus australis. Its description in RNAcentral is "lncRNA (ENSSCUG00000000892.1)". The record is from RNAcentral. Lineage: Eukaryota; Metazoa; Chordata; Aves; Struthioniformes; Struthionidae.